Long non-coding RNA from Carassius auratus (goldfish), 3147 nucleotides. NCBI's taxonomy places the organism in Eukaryota, Metazoa, Chordata, Actinopteri, Cypriniformes, Cyprinidae. The record is from Ensembl.
AUGUUCUGUUUCAAUAAACAUGCAUUACAUGCCUCAGCAAAAGAGCUUUCUUCCUCCCUCUACUAUUACCCGCUACAUAAGCGAAGCCUCUCCUCCGAGAGAUGCUUCGCAAAGCGGAAGCUCGGGGAAACCCGAGGAGGUGACUAUGUAUGUUCCCGUGCAAGAAGCCGCGAACGAGUCACCUGCCACUCAUAUAGCGGUCAACGCUUUCCCAGUGGCUGGCGCGCACGCCCCGCCGCAGCAUGCAUUAAUACCCUCCGUAUUGAGUCAUCUCAGCGCGUGGGCGACGCUCCCCGCGGCAUCUUAUUGGGUGAUCAACACGAUAAAACGCGGCUAUACGCUCCAGUUCGCUCGCAGACCACCCCGCUUCGGCGGUGUGAUUAUGACAGAAGUGUCAGAACAGAGCGCCCCGCUGCUACGAGCAGAAAUAUCCUCUCUCCUGGCCAAACAAGCAGUAGAGAUAGUGCCCGUGGAACGGAGAAAUUCCGGUUUCUACAGCCGUUAUUUUCUAGUUCCGAAAAAGGACGGAGGUAUGCGCCCCAUCUUAGACCUGAGAUUACUGAACAAAGCGCUCGCGAAACGCACGUUCAAGAUGAUAACUGUGAAGCAGAUCCUCGCGCACAUUCAGCCCGACGAUUACUUCAUUGCAGUGGAUCUAAAGGAUGCUUACUUCCACAUCCAGAUAGCCCCACAUCACAGGCGCUUCCUGCGUUUUGCAUUCGAGGGUGUGGCGUACCAGUUCAAAGUGUUGCCGUUUGGGCUCGCUUUGGCUCCCCGUGUAUUCACAAUAUGCAUGAAUACAGCGCUCGCUCCCCUGAAGCUCAGUGGAAUGCGCAUACUGAAUUAUCUCGACGACUGGUUAGUCAUCGCACGGUCGAGAAGCGCUCUCGAGGAACACAAACACAGACUCCUCGCCCAUCUGACAGGUUUGGGGCUGUCUGUGAACAUUCAGAAGAGCACACUGCAGCCGCGCCAAUAUAUCACAUUCCUGGGUAUGAUACUGGACUCGCGCUCUAUGACCGCGAAGCUGUCAGAGCCGAGAAUCCAGUCGAUUCAAAAUACACUAGCCCUCUUCGUUCAAGGCAGAGCUAUCCCCUUAAGAACGUUUCAGAGGUUGCUCGGUCUGAUGGCGGCCGCAGCCUCCGUCUGCAGACUGGGCUUGUUACACAUGAGACCGCUUCAACACUGGUUACAGAGCCGAGUGAAGCCGCGGGCGUGGAGAGCGGGAACGGAACGCCUUAUCAUAACGCGUUCAUGUCUCGAGACUCUGGCGCCUUGGUUCGGCACGACCAUAUUCGAGCAGGGUGCUGCUAUGGGCAGAGUGGUCAGACGUGUAGUGGUCACUACGGAUGCUUCACUAUCAGGCUGGGGAGCCCUAUGCGAUGGCAGACCAGCAUUCGGUACGUGGACAGGGGACCAGACGCGCUGGCAUAUAAACUGCUUGGAGAUGGAAGCGGUUCAUCUAGCGCUGCAGAGUUUCCUUCCGUUUGUGAAACACCGUCAUGUUCUCAUCAGAACGGACAACACGGCGGUGGUGGCGUACAUCAAUCGCCAGGGAGGUUUGCGUUCGCGAUCCCUGCAGGGAUUAGCGAGACAGCUGCUGUUAUGGACGGACAGGGUACUUCUGUCGAUUCGAGCAGUGCACGUACCGGGCAGCUUGAAUUGCGGCGCGGACAUGCUGUCCAGGGACGGCAUUGUACACGGAGAAUGGAGGCUCCAUCCGCAAACGAUAAAUAUGAUCUGGAAUCUGUUUGGCAAAGCGGAGAUCGACCUCUUUGCGUCGCAAGAGAACGCCCACUGCCCUCUGUACUUCUCGCUGACAGCAUCCCCCCUGGGGGGAGACGCGCUGUCGAGCCGCUGGCCAAAGGGACGGAAGUAUGGUUUUCCCCCAGUCAAGUUAAUGCCGCUGGUGCUGCAGAAGAUCAGGGAGGAGAGAUGUGCGUUGAUCCUGGUAGCACCCAAAUGGCCCAACCAGCCGUGGUUCCCGGAACUGGUGAACAUGUCGCGGCUUCCCCCGUGGCGGAUCCCGCCGAGAAGGGACCUCUUAUCCCAGGCGAGGGGCACCAUAUGGCACCCCAACCCAGAGCUUUGGGAUCUGCAUGUGUGGCAGAUCAGCGUGGAUUAUAUCAGCGAGUGCUGCAGACAAUAGCAGAGGCUAGAGCCCCUUCGACGAGGCGUUUAUACACUCUGAAGUGGAAAGUAUUUGCUAACUGGUGUGUUGACAAAAAUGAGGACCCCAGGAGUUGCGAUAUCUCCAUUAUUCUGACCUUCCUACAGGAACGUCUGGAUGCUGGCAGUACCCCAUCUACAGUGAAAGUCUACGUGGCCGCUAUCGCCGUUUUUCGUGACUUGCUAGACGGCCAUUCAGUGGGGAGGCACCCCCUGAUAACGAGCUUUCUUCGGGGAGCUAGGCGGCUUAAUCCACCCCGCCUUCGUCAGAUGCCGGUCUGGGACCUGUCAUUAGUGCUUAGUGCGCUGUCCAACCCACCUUUUGAACCAGCCGAGUUAAGCGACCUUAAAGUGCUCUCAUUUAAGACGGCGCUACUGCUCGCGCUAGCUUGCGGGAAACGAGUGGGAGACUUGCAUGCCCUGUCAGUGAACAGCGCGUGUAUGCAGUUUGGACCGGACGAUUGUAUGGUCAGACUUUUACCCAAACGCGGUUAUUCGCCUAAAGUGCUCUCAACGCCGUUCAGAGCUCAGAUAAUUACAAUUCAAGCAUUUUGCCCCGAGGAGGACAGUAAUUCAGUGUCUCAGAAGUGCGCUUUGUGCCCCGUGCGUGCCCUGCGUGCAUAUGUGAACAGAACUAGCCAGUUUCGAACUUCAGAGCAGCUUUUCGUCUGCUACGCGGGUGCCAAGAAGGGCAGCGCGCUGUCGAAGCAGAGGCUAUCACACUGGAUAGUGGAGGCUGUGCGACUAGCUUAUGCUUCCCGGGGAACCGCCUGCCCAAUCGGGGUGCACGCCCACUCCACAAGGAGUUUGGCGUCGUCAUGGGGUUGGGCGAAAGGUAUGUCUAUUCAGGACAUUUGUUUCGCAGCGGGCUGGUCGUCUCGCAACACGUUUGCGAGAUUCUAUAAUCUGGACAUUCCCUCGUUCGCAUCACAUGUGCUGUCAGUGCAGGAGGAGGGAGUUGAGCAGUCUUUGGACUAA